GGCAAACUUGGCAUGUGAUACCUUUUCGGAAAGCCCAAAGAGAGCCCUCCGACGAAAGAAGGCAAGACAAUGGAACCUUUCCAUUGACUUUUUGUCGACUCCAAAUUUUGACCUUUAAGUACUUUUUCGGGCAUUUUCGUGAUUUGUGCUAUAUUACGGACCCAAAAUUACUCUUUCAAGCAUUGUUUUCGAAUAUUUUUCAUGCAUCAAAGCUCGUUAAGACUAGAUGGGGUAUCCCUACAUGGCGGGUGGGACCCACGGCGAACGGUUCAUCAAGACUUAAAAAAAGAAUAUAUACGAUUGCAUUGCAUAUACUAACGGAUGCGAUCAUACCAGCACUAAUGCACCGGAUCCCAUCAGAACUCCGCAGUGAAGCGUGCUUGGGCGAGAGUAGUACUAGGAUGGGUGACCUCCCGGGAAGUCCUCGUGUUGCAUCCCUCUUUUUUUUUUUUUUGGUUAAAACUUUAUGACUCCAUAACUUGUACACAG
This 489-nucleotide ribosomal RNA is filed under the name Arabidopsis thaliana (thale cress). The record is from RNAcentral. Lineage: Eukaryota; Viridiplantae; Streptophyta; Magnoliopsida; Brassicales; Brassicaceae.